Lagenorhynchus albirostris (white-beaked dolphin) is the source of this 5837-nucleotide long non-coding RNA. RefSeq lists it as uncharacterized. The transcript is spliced from 9 exons. Lineage: Eukaryota; Metazoa; Chordata; Mammalia; Artiodactyla; Delphinidae. The record is from RefSeq and is a predicted model, not a curated record.
UGGCCGGGCCGUGUGCCUGGCACAGCCCCCAGGAUGCCGAGCCCGGGCAAGCCUACGUCCUGACCUCCGGACCGGACGCAGCAAUCAGUUCCUCUGAAGACAGCGGCCCUGGGGAGCAGGGAUUCCCCCACCCUGCUCCAUCUUCCCGGGCCGCACCCGGGCAUGGUCCUAUCAGCCAGGCAACUCCGCCGGGACACCCAGCACGUCACAGCAACCUUGAACGACACUCCAUCCUCCGAACUAACGAUUCGGAAUCAGAAAGGGAGUGAAGGCAGCACCCAGGGACCAGCCCCCUCCGCCCCCACGGGGCCCACCUUCCUCCCCCGCAGCCGGCUGCCCACCACCGGCCCCCGCUCCCCCCACAGAGGAAGCGAAGGACCCUCGGCACUCACGCAGGAGACUCGCUGGCCGGGUGUGCCUGGCUCUGGGCGUGGAGGGCGCAGAAGGGCCGCUCCGAUGGGCGUGGGGCACAGAGAAGGACCGCCCAGCGGGGGACGCGCCCCAGGCUGACCGCGUCAUUACGGUCCACGUCUGGACACCCGCGAGAGGGAGGGGCACCAGGACACAGGGACAAGAGGCCUCAAGCAGAGCAUCCUGGGCCAGCAGGGCCCAAGGGGACUGCGGAGCCAAGGCUUGAAAGGCCGAAUCUGCGCACGGUCGGCAACGUGACUGUAAUCCCCUCACUCGGUGUGACAGAAGGAAGAGAGACUCCCGGAAAGGCCCAGACCCUCUCCUGCCUGGUCUCCCUCCCCACUCGGAGAAGUAGCCUUCGCAGGACACCCUGAGUAGUUUAGUGACGGCAGGAGGACCGCCCAGCCCUCCCUUCUGGAAUCUUCCGCCAGCUCUCCCAGCGCCUGCUCCCCUGCAGUGUGGGCGUGCACAGUGCAGAAGCGGACGCAGGUCGGGGGACACAGGGUGCCGGGCUCUGUCCUGCCAGCCCCCCGCACGCCCAGGCCGGGCCCCUGGCCCUACAAGGAGCUCGUCCUGGCCCCCACACGGGCCCGCCUGCUUUCAGCUGGAGGCCGUUCUCGUUUCGCAGCUGCUGCUGAGCGGCUCGCUGACCCUCCCACGUCCCGGCCAGACCUCCUGGUCGGGCACACGGUGCAGGCAGCAGGGCCCACGCCAGGCCGGCCUCCGUCCCCGUCCUUUCCAUGGAGAAGGGCCUCGACGAGCUUGGGGGCACCUUCAGCGCCUCCCGUUUACCAGUCAGCUGCCCCCCAGCCUCCCCUCAGCUGGGCCCAUGAGCUGCUGCCUUCAGAGAGCUCAGGGGCUGGUCUCCAGGCCACUGCUGGGCAGGCUGGGUUUGGUCAGGGACAGUGGGGGACAGUCUGAGGGUGUCAGAGGCGGCGCCUUGAGUGGGGUACGCUUCCACAGGGUCGUCUGAGCCGGGUCAAGCGUGAGCGUUUUAGCUACCUGCCUCAGUCUCCUGCUCUGGAGAAUGGGGACAGCCACAGGCCUCGUCUAGGGACCUCAGGAGCGUCACGGGAGGCGACCCUGAAAGGCACUUCAACGGUUCUUGGCCUGUGCUGACGGCUCAGGGGAGAUUUGCCGCUUUGGGACCCAGACGUCACCCACCCUUUGCUCCGUGGCUCUUACUCUGUGGUGGAGCGAGAGGAAGGAGCCCCAGGGCAGGCUGGUGUCAGGACGGCCAGCGCGGGCCGCACCCCAGCUUCAGGAGUUUUGUCAUUUCCAGAAGGUUCUAUAAAUGGAAUCUUACAGCGUGUGACCUGUCGGGCCUGGCUCUCUCACUCAGCGUAAUUCUCUCGAGAUUCACCGAGUUGUGGUAUCGAUAGUUUGCUCCUUUUGGCUGCUGAGCGAUAUUCCACGGCACGGAUGUGCUACAGCUCAUGACAGCUGGAUUUGCGCCCAGCGAUUGCACCUGUGGUUUCCAGCUAUUUCCGAUAACGCUGCUAUGAACAGGUUUGGGGAUGAACCUAACUCUUCAUUUCUCUGGGCUAAAUGCCCAGGAGAGUAAUUGCUGGGUGACGUGACAGCUGUGUGUUUGCUACAAGGGACAGCCACGCUGGUUUCCAGGAUGGUUCUAUCCCAUAGUUUGCAAAAGGAAUAAUACCGUACACUUUACUCUGCAAACUACUUUUUUCAUGUAAUAAUGUAUACGCACUUCUCUAGGCCAAUACCUAUAGAUUUUAAAAACUUGUUUGUUUUUAAUAAAAAAAAUAAUAAGUUGAUACUACUCCAAAAGUUGCUGACAGUCUUAGAAGGCAGUAGCACAGGGACUAGGGCGGUAAAGCUUUUGCUGCACCACUGAUGAUGCUAAAACUAUGCUUCGCCAGGAAACCGCAUAUUUACAUAUUCGAUCGGAAAAGAAAGCAGGUUUUGAAGCUAGCUUGCAUGUAGACACGUUAGUUCCAAAUGCCCUUCCAAUGUAUUUUGCGAACCUCCACUCUGCAUUUAGGGUGAUAGUUUCUAUUUGAUAGAAACUGUAAAUAGGGAUCACACUGCCCAACAUAUUAACAGGUUUUCUGACACAUUCUUUUCAGUGGCUGCGUAACGAUGCGCAGUUAUGGUUCAUCAGUCCAACUAUACGAUAGGAAGAGACAUUUCCCUUUCUUGGGGCCGUGUUGUACACACGACGGAUCCCACCGCAGGGCGUUCUGCUCCGAGCGUGCUGACAGCGCACUCUCCCACGUCCCCCCCGCCCCUCCUCUCCUCUCCUAACUUCUCUCCACCCUUCUCCACACCAAGCUCCUGUGCACAGACUGAAGGAACAAGCAUUGCCUUGGGUUAAACUGUGUCCCCCCUGCACACACCCCCUGCAACCCCCCGCCCCCAGAAAACUCAUGUUGGAGUCCUGGCCCCUGGUCCCUGUGAAUGGGACCUCAUCUGGAAACAGGAUCCUGAAGAUGGAAUCAAGUUAAGAUGAGGCCACGCUAACUUAGGGUGGCCCUAAAUCCAAUGACUGGUGUCCCUAUAGGAAGAGGGAAACCUGGACCCAAGGGAAAAGGCGUGUGAAGACAGAGGCAGAGGUUGGAGUGAUGCGUCUACACGCCGGGGGAUGGCAGGGAUCGCGGGCAACCAGCCAGAGCUAGGAAGAGGCAAGGAAGGAACAACGUACCCAGAGUCUCAGAGAGGGCAGGGCCCUGCCGACACCCUGAUUUCGGACUUCGGGCCUCCAGAACUGUGCAACAACUGUGUUCCAAACCUCCUGGUUCGUGAGGGUCUGUUCCAGCAGCCCCAGGACGCUGACACAGGAGCGCUGCUGUGUGAGAGGAAAUGCAACAUGCUCGUUCGCUCACUGGGCGCCAGCCUUGCAGGAAGGCAGACGUGUUGGCCCUUCCUGCUCCUCUGUCAGCGGCAGGGGCCCCCACGCAACGUGUGGGAAGCUGCGUGCACUGCAUCCGCAGAAGCAUCCUCCUGUUGCAACGAGACUCGUGCAGUCGCUCAGGCUCACGCUUCCAAAGCCCCUGGAGCAGGUUCCCCACCAGGGACUCGCAUCCUCUCCCUGUACCCUCCAGCUAGCGACAGGGACCUCGCCACCUCCCGAGGCAUAUUCUGUUUCCAAACAGCUUUAACUUCGAGUUCCUGAGAGGUUGUCCGCCUCCACAAAACCCUAUCCACGGGUAUUACUUAUAAUCCCUGGGAAUAAAAGAACCCAUCCUCUGUCGUGCGUCAAGCCACUGAAGAGAGGAACUGUAUCCAACAGGAUGAAGGACAAGCUAGUUUUCCAGCCAUCCGGGGUUUGCACAAAAAGGGAGGCCCAAGGUCGAGGACGAGAGGAGGCUGGCAAGCUGCCAACGGUCGGGACCAGACGCGUACCCCGGCCCCAGUCUGAACAAGUGGGGUCUGCGGAGGAGUGGGGCACCUCGAGUAGAGAACGUGGUGUCUGAAAAUGAACCCAUGAGGUUUAUCGAAAGAAAGAAAAGAAACCGGAUCUUUGACUCCAGGGAAAACGUGGCGCUGUGUCUGAAGUGACCGCAGGGCCGCCCAGAUGUGGAGGCUGAGCGCUUCCACAGGCACGACCUCACCUGUUCCUCACAGACGCUGAAGCAGCGCUGGCGCCGGCUGAGCGUGCACGGGCCCCCUGGGGCCCACCCCUCACGUCUCUGCCCGCCUUUACUCCAGCCCCUCAGAGCAGCAACCAGCUCCCUGGGGUGCCGCCCGCCGGAGCCUCGAUUCAGCCGCUCCAGCUGCUUCUUCCUUUUUGGCCCGCGGCACUGGGCCCGCUCCCCAGGAUGGCCACCCGGGACCCCCUGCCUGCACACCGGCCCUGGCUGGGGCUUCGAUGGAAGCUGGCCCAUCGGCCCAUCUCAUCUUUGUAAAAACACAGCUUUGACGACGCAAGAAAGAAGUGUAGAGACGUCACAAGCCCUGCUUUCCCAAGCCCCGGGGCAGAGGCCCAGCUCUGAGCACUAGGCCCUACCUUAGGCCGUAAAGGAGACGCCUCUGCCUCGUCUUAGAGAAGAGGAGGCUCGGGGCGCCCAUGGCAGAGCAGCCGCUGGAAUCCGGCCCCUGACGUCUCACCACGUGUCCUUCCCAAGCGCCCGACGCCCACGCCCUUCCGGGAAUCCCGCGAGUGCCAGAAGGGGCGCUGAUGCAGCGCGGGUCCUCCCCAGACACAUCGGGGAGGGGAGCCAGGCAACAACCGCGGUGCUGGGUUAGCUCUCAGGCAACCGCUUCCCCGACAGUGAAGCAGGAGGCGACUGGCGUCCCCAGACUUUGGAAGAGGCAGCUCUGGGCGGCAGGGCGGCAGAGGCCUGGUCUGCAAGGCCCCUUUGGGCUCCAGCACGGGUGAACGCGAGUCGAGUUGGCCCCCUGUGUGGCUUUCCAGCUGUGCCGUUUCAGGGGGAGAUACGGUCGGACAGCAGGGGAGGGAUGUGAGGCAUUUUCCAUCCUGGGCUCUUGUCCCGGGGUUGAGGCCGAGCUCAAAGCCGAGGCCGGGGCUCCGGUGUGAGGCCCGCGUCCGGGAACAGAUGCUUCUGCAGCAUGGGGUGUGGGGAGUGCUCAACUCGUGACCUCAGAACAUCCCUGUCAUCCCCGGUCAACAGAGCAAUGGGAAAGCCCAGACGAGGCCCGGCUGCUGGUGAAGGCCACCCAGACCGGAGAAGGAGAUGCUGGGGACGCAGAUGUGGCAGAGGACCUGCUCACCCCUCUUCUUCCUGGACUCAGGGCUACACUGGAUCUCUCAGCCUCCUUUGCAGGUAGAUGGGCCAUGGGACCCAGCUGGCCAAUGGGAAGUGGGCGGAAGUGAUAGGCGUCCUUCCUGGACAGACAUUCUGCAUUUUGGCGUGUUUCUGUUUCAUCGAUAAUCAAGGAGAAGAGACAAGACAGGCGUGGUCUCUGCCGUCCUGGAGCUUUCCAGGUACACAGUCAUCCAGUGACGCCUGAGGACGGGGUCUGAAGGAGGAGGCCAGAGUUUCAGAGAGCACGCCAUCCGAGGCCGCAGAGGAGAGGUCAGGAGAGCUUCUCCUCGUCGGGAGGAUGGGAAAUGUCUUUACCACCUUUGAGAGCGGAAGCGGGGCCUAACCCUAACCCUAGCCCACGCUGGUCAGAGCACUUUGAGAAGAUCAAUUGUGGUGAUGCGAAGGGUAAGUCUAUACUUUUAAACUUCUCAUUUCUCGGAGCUGCCUUCGGACCAGACUGUGGAGUUUGGGGAGGAGGCCCCGUGUCCCCUACACGGCCAAGGGCUUGGGGUUCACAGCCUGCGCAGCUGCUUUGAGCCCCAGUGCCUGGGACAGGUUUCCCUCGUGCUCUUUUCUCCUUUCUAAAGUGAGCUCAUCGGUCACUGAAGGGCCUCGCUGCCCCUCUAGCAUCUGUUUGGGGUCUUUGUUUGGCCAUAGACCUCGUUUUUUUUCCCAAUAAAUUUAUUUAUUUUUGGC